GUGUCCUACGGGGGGCAGCAGUGGGGAAUAUUGCACAAUGGGGGAAACCCUGAUGCAGCGACGCCGCGUGAGUGAAGAAGUAUUUCGGUAUGUAAAGCUCUAUCAGCAGGGAAGAAAAUGACGGUACCUGACUAAGAAGCCCCGGCUAACUACGUGCCAGCAGCCGCGGUAAUACGUAGGGGGCAAGCGUUAUCCGGAUUUACUGGGUGUAAAGGGAGCGUAGACGGGAGCGCAAGUCUGAAGUGAAAUCCCAUGGCUUAA
This 261-nucleotide ribosomal RNA is filed under the name uncultured bacterium. RNAcentral's name for it is "partial 16S ribosomal RNA". It matches the Rfam family "Bacterial small subunit ribosomal RNA", at positions 334 to 612 of the family's 1533-position model. The record is from RNAcentral.